CCACUCACACCCACCUCUUGG
This 21-nucleotide unclassified non-coding RNA is filed under the name Mus musculus (house mouse). RNAcentral's name for it is "oocyte_clustered_small_RNA7441". The record is from RNAcentral. Lineage: Eukaryota; Metazoa; Chordata; Mammalia; Rodentia; Muridae.